GGCAGGACUGGCCUGUCAUGAAAUGUCAUAAUCAGCUGAUAUCGCUGGAACUUCCACACCUGGUUGGAUAUUGAUUUUACUUCAAAGAAGAAGCAGGGAAGAGAAUCUUACUAUGAAUUCUACUCUUACGGUCUAUCUGGUCUGCAAACACCUCUCCAUAGAUCAUCCAGUAGGGCAUGUAGAAGAUAUUUCGGGCCAGUUUCCAAGAAGGCUUCUCCUCUGGAUGCAGAAUGGCUUGACGGGCUACUCCAAAACUCAUGAGCACGACCAGCAUGAUGACCACAAAGUACAGCAUGUCGAUCAUCUGAGUUGAUACAUCUAAAAGAAUCUUUGUUUCCAACUGGACUGACUCAUUGAGAGGAAACCUUCCCUGCACCUCACCAGUAAAGACAGAAGACCUGGAGGCAGGACGGGAGCUGGAGGCUCAUCAUCCUGAGGGGAGAAACACGGAUUUCAUGGUUUUGCCAGAAAAGUAUGCAACAAAGAAUUCCAGAACUCAUGGAGAAAGGGAAACUUUUCUG
Long non-coding RNA from Rhinopithecus roxellana (golden snub-nosed monkey), 521 nucleotides. RefSeq lists it as uncharacterized. The transcript has 4 exons. The record is from RefSeq and is a predicted model, not a curated record. Lineage: Eukaryota; Metazoa; Chordata; Mammalia; Primates; Cercopithecidae.